RNAcentral lists this transfer RNA (91 nucleotides) under Orchesella cincta. It matches the Rfam family "tRNA". Rfam says of the family: Transfer RNA (tRNA) molecules are approximately 80 nucleotides in length. Their secondary structure includes four short double-helical elements and three loops (D, anti-codon, and T loops). The record is from Rfam by way of RNAcentral. Lineage: Eukaryota; Metazoa; Arthropoda; Collembola; Entomobryomorpha; Orchesellidae.
CCUUCGAUAGCUCAGUUGGUAGAGCGGUGGACUGUAGUUGAACAGCUAAGCUGAGAUCCAUAGGUCACUGGUUCAAAUCCGGUUCGAAGGA